UACGUAGGGUGCAAGCGUUGUUCGGAAUUACUGGGCGUAAAGCGCGCGUAGGCGGAUUAUUAAGUCAGGGGUGAAAUCCUGGGGCCCAACCUCAGAACUGCCUUUGAUACUGAUAAUCUAGAGUUCGGAAGAGGUGAGUGGAAUUCCUAGUGUAGAGGUGAAAUUCGUAGAUAUUAGGAAGAACACCGGUGGCGAAGGCGGCUCACUGGUCCGAAACUGACGCUGAGGUGCGAAAGCGUGGGGAGCAAACAGG
RNAcentral lists this ribosomal RNA (253 nucleotides) under uncultured bacterium. Its description in RNAcentral is "partial 16S ribosomal RNA". It matches the Rfam family "Bacterial small subunit ribosomal RNA", at positions 524 to 776 of the family's 1533-position model. The record is from RNAcentral.